CCUACGGGAGGCUGCAGUGAGGAAUAUUGGUCAAUGGGCGGAAGCCUGAACCAGCCAAGUAGCGUGCGGGAUGAAGGCCCUACGGGUCGUAAACCGCUUUUGCACGGGGAUAACACCCUCCACUUGUGGAGGUCUGCAGGUACCGUGCGAAUAAGGGCCGGCUAAUUCCGUGCCAGCAGCCGCGGUAAUACGGAAGGCCCGGGCGUUAUCCGGAUUCAUUGGGCUUAAAGGGAGCGUAGGCGGGCGUUCAAGUCAGAGGGAAAAUCGCGCUGCUCAACCGCGCCCCGCAGUUGAAACUGGACGCCUUGAGUUCACAACAGGCAGGCGGAAUUCGUGGUGUAGCGGUGAAAUGCAUAGAUAUCACGAGGAACCCCGAUUGCGAAGGCAGCCUGCCGGGGUGCGACUGACGCUGAGGCUCGAAGGUGCGGGUAUCAAACAGGAUUAGAUACCCCAGUAGUC
RNAcentral lists this ribosomal RNA (459 nucleotides) under uncultured bacterium. Its description in RNAcentral is "partial 16S ribosomal RNA". It matches the Rfam family "Bacterial small subunit ribosomal RNA", at positions 338 to 795 of the family's 1533-position model. The record is from RNAcentral.